Molecule: ribosomal RNA, 408 nt
Filed under: Serratia sp. AZTITEMP226
Lineage: Bacteria; Pseudomonadati; Pseudomonadota; Gammaproteobacteria; Enterobacterales; Yersiniaceae
Description: partial 16S ribosomal RNA
Rfam family: Bacterial small subunit ribosomal RNA
Source: RNAcentral
UANNNACUCUUGANNUCNNCAGAAUUCGGCAGAGAUGCCUUAGUGCCUUCGGGAACUGUGAGACAGGUGCUGCAUGGCUGUCGUCAGCUCGUGUUGUGAAAUGUUGGGUUAANUCCCNCAACGAGCGCAACCCUUAUCCUUUGUUGCCAGCACGUAAUGGUGGGAACUCAAAGGAGACUGCCGGUGAUAAACCGGAGGAAGGUGGGGAUGACGUCAAGUCAUCAUGGCCCUUACGAGUAGGGCUACACACGUGCUACAAUGGCGUAUACAAAGAGAAGCGAACUCGCGAGAGCCAGCGGACCUCAUAAAGUACGUCGUANUCCGGAUCGGAGUCUGCAACUCNACUCCGUGAAGUCGGAAUCGCUAGUAAUCNUAGAUCANAAUGCUACNGUGAAUACNUUCCCNGGA